This 482-nucleotide ribosomal RNA is filed under the name uncultured bacterium. RNAcentral's name for it is "partial 16S ribosomal RNA". It matches the Rfam family "Bacterial small subunit ribosomal RNA", at positions 30 to 507 of the family's 1533-position model. The record is from RNAcentral.
AUUGAACGCUGGCGGCAUGCCUUACACAUGCAAGUCGAACGGUAACGGGCCUUCGGGUGCCGACGAGUGGCGAACGGGUGAGUAAUACAUCGGAACGUGCCCGAUCGUGGGGGAUAACGAGGCGAAAGCUUUGCUAAUACCGCAUACGAUCUACGGAUGAAAGCAGGGGACCGCAAGGCCUUGCGCGGACGGAGCGGCCGAUGGCAGAUUAGGUAGUUGGUGGGAUAAAAGCUUACCAAGCCGACGAUCUGUAGCUGGUCUGAGAGGAUGAUCAGCCACACUGGGACUGAGACACGGCCCAGGCUCCUACGGGAGGCAGCAGUGGGGAAUUUUGGACAAUGGGCGCAAGCCUGAUCCAGCCAUGCCGCGUGCAGGAUGAAGGCCUUCGGGUUGUAAACUGCUUUUGUACGGGACGAAAAGCCUUCUUUUAAUACAGGAGGGUCAUGACGGUACCGUAAGAAUAAGCACCGGCUAACUACGUG